CCGAGUGCCAGCCCCUCGCGGGCUGAACCUCCCACCCUUGUCUCUGAUACACCCUGUUGCUUUGGCGGGCCCACCGGGGCCCUCCCCGGUCGCCGAGGGGCAUCCCGCCCCUGGGCCCGUGCCCGCCGGAGCGCCCAUGAACCCGAAUGAAGAUGGAUUGUCUGAGUGUGGGAUGAGAAUUGUCA
This 185-nucleotide unclassified non-coding RNA is filed under the name soil metagenome. RNAcentral describes it as "partial internal transcribed spacer 1". The record is from RNAcentral.